UACAGAGGUGGCAAACGUUGUUCGGAUUUACUGGGCGUAAAGGGUGCGUAGGUGGUUAGGUAAGACCUGUGGGAAAGACCUGGGCUUAACCCAGGAAGGUCGCAGGUGACUGCCUGGCUAGAGGGCGGGAGAGGAGAGCGGAAUUCCCGGUGUAGCGGUGAAAUGCGUAGAGAUCGGGAGGAAGGCCGGUGGCGAAGGCGGCUCUCUGGAACGUUCCUGACACUGAGGCACGAAAGCGUGGGGAGCAAACAGG
Molecule: ribosomal RNA, 253 nt
Filed under: uncultured bacterium
Lineage: Bacteria
Description: partial 16S ribosomal RNA
Rfam family: Bacterial small subunit ribosomal RNA
Source: RNAcentral